Molecule: non-coding RNA, 597 nt
Organism: Lactuca sativa (garden lettuce)
Lineage: Eukaryota; Viridiplantae; Streptophyta; Magnoliopsida; Asterales; Asteraceae
Source: RefSeq, a predicted model, not a curated record
UAUAUUAAAACUUUAAAAUUAAAGUAGUAGUAGUAUAUUGUUUAUUGCAGUUGUAGAUUUUAUGGAUAUCAAUAUCAUAACAUAAAAUUCUGAAAAUGCCACCAUUGCCCUAAUACAUCGGCUCCCACAGUCUCACUCUUCUUCAUCGCUGCCUUGAAUCUGUCCGGCCUCCCCCAUACGCCGUCAACUAUCUCGUCUAGCACCGCCGCGGCCCUCCUCCGCAUCUGAACGGGAGGUGCAGUACUGCAGUAGGUAUCAGUUGAGAGCUGGGGGAGAUCUCGUGGAGUUUUCCAACAUAGACGGGCUAGAGAAAGAAAGAGAUGAAGCAUGAUCUGUUGUGUUUUGUUUCCAGAAAUCUUAUGGAAACAAGAUGCACAUCGAUUUCUGUUCAAGAACACACAUAUGUGUGCAAUCUGUAAAUAGGACGGUGGUGGUGAAUUGGUGAUGGAGCCUUGAUGUCUCAAUGAAUAGUUGUGAGUUUGAAUGUAAAAGAUGAUCACACUGGGUAGGGUUAUUUAGAAUUUUAGAAUUACUAAAUGUAUAAUAAAUAUUUAAAAUUAUAAAUUAAAUUAUAAAGUUGCACGUCUAGGUAAAAAA